UUAGGAAUCUUCCACAAUGGGCGAAAGCCUGAUGGAGCGACGCCGCGUGAGGGAUGAAGGCCUUAGGGUUGUAAACCUCUAAAAGAGGGACGAUAAUGACGGUACCUCUGGAAUAGCACCGGCUAACUCCGUGCCAGCAGCCGCGGUAAUACGGAGGGUGCAAGCGUUAUCCGGAAUCACUGGGCGUAAAGGGCGCGUAGGCGGUCUGUUAAGUCCGAUGUUAAAUCCCGGGGCUCAACCCCGGAUAAGCGUUGGAUACUGGCAGGCUAGACGGUUGGAGAGGCGAGUGGAAUUACCAGUGUAGCGGUGGAAUGCGUAGAUACUGGUAGGAACACCCAUUGCGAAGGCAGCUCGCUGGACAACACGUGACGCUGAGGCGCGAAAGUGUGGGGAGCAAACC
This 400-nucleotide ribosomal RNA is filed under the name uncultured bacterium. Its description in RNAcentral is "bacterial SSU rRNA". It matches the Rfam family "Bacterial small subunit ribosomal RNA", at positions 355 to 774 of the family's 1533-position model. The record is from RNAcentral.